UAGUUAGAUAAUUCGAAUUUGGCAAAAAUUUGGUACAGAUAUAAUAAGUAUAAAAUUUAUUUUUAAUUUUUAAAUUUGUUGAAAAAUUCGGUUUGAAAAACGAAUUCGAUAAUUAUUCGGAUACGUGAUUUGUAUGAAAAUUGUACGUUCAUCAAUUAAAAAUUCGGAAUAAAAAAUUCGCCUAUUAAAUUUAAAUUUUUUUUCUAGAUUUAUACUACUAUAUAUCGUAAACAGUUAUAAUUCUUAAAAAUAAAAAGCUACAAAAUAAAGUAGAUUAAUCCAUUAUUAAUUGUAAAAUAUAUAUAUAAAUAUUUUUUUUGGGAGGCGAAUGAAGAGAGAACUCAUAUUUAAAUAUAAAAUAUAAGAUAAUCUAUAUUUAAACAUAAAAAUUAUAAGUUUUUUAUUCAGAUUUUUAAUAAUUCACGAAUUAUUCGGCUGGCCUAAAAAUUCGCGAAUAAUUUCUUUUCUUUGGAAAAAAUUCGUAGACAAACCGUUUAAUUCAGAUUUUCAAUAAUUCGCGAAUAAUUCACAAAUUAACUAACAAAGCUUUGAGCUACCAUAUUAUCAUGUCAGGUGUUAAUCUGUCUCUCGAUUGGAGCUAAAAUGUAACACGUACUGGUAUAUUUGCGACGCCCCACUUCUCAGGGGGUUAUCUAUUUUAGGAUCCUAACAAGUUUAACUCUUUUAAUCUCUUGGUCCUAACCACCACCCAAAAUACUAUAAUCGGGUUAAAAAUUUUUAGCCCUAUUAUAUUCUAUAUAUAAGAUUAUUUGGGGUCUCACACUCUCCCACCUUUUAAGCCCUAACGUUCCCGUCAGGUUCAAACUCACAAGUAUUAGACGAUAUAAAACUCGUCUCGUUAGUCUUAACCGACCUUGUGGGGAAGCCGCACUCUGCCUACAGCAAUCGUCAGCAUGAGAGUCUCGCUCUCUCCGCUGUUUAAUCUGGCUCAAUUGAGAUUCAUUUUACACUUUCGGAUGGUAAUUUUCUUUGAUACCAACUGUGGUGCCCCGCUUCCCAGAGGAUUACUUAUCAUAGGACUACUCUAGUUCUAACACGCUUAAUUUUCUUACUCUCUUGGACCUAUCUGCCUCCCAAAAUGCUCUAGUCAGGUUAAGAGUUUUUAGCCCUAUUAUAUCUUAUAUAUAGGACUAUCUGGUGUCUCACAAUUUUUAUGUUGUACAUCU
This 1187-nucleotide long non-coding RNA is filed under the name Ananas comosus (pineapple). RNAcentral describes it as "long non-coding RNA (ACOM_LNC035975)". Lineage: Eukaryota; Viridiplantae; Streptophyta; Magnoliopsida; Poales; Bromeliaceae. The record is from RNAcentral.